This 353-nucleotide unclassified non-coding RNA is filed under the name soil metagenome. RNAcentral describes it as "partial contains 5.8S ribosomal RNA, internal transcribed spacer 2, and large subunit ribosomal RNA". The stretch from base 1 to 120 matches the Rfam family "5.8S ribosomal RNA", at positions 35 to 154 of the family's 154-position model. The record is from RNAcentral.
GAUGAAGAACGCAGCGAAAUGCGAUAAGUAAUGUGAAUUGCAGAAUUCAGUGAAUCAUCGAAUCUUUGAACGCACAUUGCGCCCGCCAGUAUUCUGGCGGGCAUGCCUGUCCGAGCGUCAUUUCAACCCUCGAACCCCUCCGGGGGGUCGGCGUUGGGGAUCGGCCCUUUCACCGGGUGCCGGCCCCUAAAUACAGUGGCGGUCUCGCCGCAGCCUCUCAUGCGCAGUAGUUUGCACACUCGCACCGGGGGCGCGGCGCGUCCUCGUCCGUAAAACACCCCAAACUUCUGAAAUGUUGACCUCGGAUCAGGUAGGAAUACCCGCUGAACUUAAGCAUAUCAAUAAGCGGAGGA